This 253-nucleotide ribosomal RNA is filed under the name uncultured bacterium. RNAcentral's name for it is "partial 16S ribosomal RNA". It matches the Rfam family "Bacterial small subunit ribosomal RNA", at positions 524 to 776 of the family's 1533-position model. The record is from RNAcentral.
UACGUAGGGUCCGAGCGUUGUCCGGAAUUAUUGGGCGUAAAGGGCUCGUAGGCGGUCUGUUGCGUCGGGAGUGAAAACUUACAGCUUAACUGUGAGCGUGCUUUCGAUACGGGCAGACUUGAGGCAUUCAGGGGAGAACGGAAUUCCUGGUGUAGCGGUGAAAUGCGCAGAUAUCAGGAGGAACACCGGUGGCGAAGGCGGCAUCCUGGACCGACACUGACGCUGAGGCGCGAAAGCUAGGGGAGCAAACGGG